This 253-nucleotide ribosomal RNA is filed under the name uncultured bacterium. Its description in RNAcentral is "partial 16S ribosomal RNA". It matches the Rfam family "Bacterial small subunit ribosomal RNA", at positions 524 to 776 of the family's 1533-position model. The record is from RNAcentral.
UACGUAGGGUGCAAGCGUUGUCCGGAAUUAUUGGGCGUAAAGAGCUCGUAGGCGGUCUGUCGCGUCUGCUGUGAAAACCCGCGGCUCAACCGCGGGCCUGCAGCCGAUACGGGCAGGCUAGAGUUCGGUAGGGGAGACUGGAAUUCCUGGUGUAGCGGUGAAAUGCGCAGAUAUCAGGAGGAACACCGAUGGCGAAGGCAGGUCUCUGGGCCGAUACUGACGCUGAGGAGCGAAAGCGUGGGGAGCGAACAGG